RNAcentral lists this ribosomal RNA (450 nucleotides) under uncultured bacterium. RNAcentral describes it as "partial 16S ribosomal RNA". It matches the Rfam family "Bacterial small subunit ribosomal RNA", at positions 354 to 796 of the family's 1533-position model. The record is from RNAcentral.
GUGGGGAAUUUUGGACAAUGGGCGAAAGCCUGAUCCAGCCAUGCCGCGUGCAGGAUGAAGGCCUUCGGGUUGUAAACUGCUUUUGUACGGAACGAAAAGACUCUUUCUAAUAAAGAGGGUUCAUGACGGUACCGUAAGAAUAAGCACCGGCUAACUACGUGCCAGCAGCCGCGGUAAUACGGAGGGUGCGAGCGUUAAUCGGAAUUACGGGGCGUAAAGCGUGCGCAUGCGGUGAUGUAAGACAGAUGUGAAAUCCCCGGGCUCAACCUGGGAACUGCAUUUGUGACUGCAUCGCUGGAGUACGGCAGAGGGGGAUGGAAUUCCGCGUGUAGCAGUGAAAUGCGUAGAUAUGCGGAGGAACACCGAUGGUGACGGCAAUCCCCUGGGCCUGUACUGACGCUCAUGAACGAAAGCGUGGGGAGCAAACAGGAUUAGAUACCCUGGUAGUCC